RNAcentral lists this ribosomal RNA (748 nucleotides) under uncultured cyanobacterium. RNAcentral describes it as "bacterial SSU rRNA". It matches the Rfam family "Bacterial small subunit ribosomal RNA", at positions 8 to 796 of the family's 1533-position model. Lineage: Bacteria; Bacillati; Cyanobacteriota. The record is from RNAcentral.
AGAGUUUGAUCAUGGCUCAGGAUGAACGCUGGCGGUCUGCUUAACACAUGCAAGUCGAACGAAUCCUUUCGGGGAUUAGUGGCGGACGGGUGAGUAACGCGUGAGAAUCUGCCAAAAGGACUGGGACAACCACUGGAAACGGUGGCUAAUACCAGAUGUGCCGCAACGUAAAAGAGGAAACUCGCCUUUUGAGGAGCUCGCGUCUGAUUAGCUAGUUGGUGAGGUAAAAGCUCACCAAGGCAACGAUCAGUAGCUGGUCUGAGAGGACGACCAGCCACACUGGGACUGAGACACGGCCCAGACUCCUACGGGAGGCAGCAGUGGGGAAUUUUCCGCAAUGGGCGAAAGCCUGACGGAGCAAGACCGCGUGAGGGAGGAAGGCUCUUGGGUCGUAAACCUCUUUUGUCAGGGAAGAACACAAUGACGGUACCUGACGAAUCAGCAUCGGCUAACUCCGUGCCAGCAGCCGCGGUAAUACGGAGGAUGCAAGCGUUAUCCGGAAUUAUUGGGCGUAAAGCGUCCGUAGAUGGUUUUGCCAGUCGGCUGUCAAAGCACAGGGCUUAACCCUGUAAAGGCAGUGGAAACUACAAGACUAGAGUGCAGUAGGGGCAGAGGGAAUUCCCAGUGUAGCGGUGAAAUGCGUAGAGAUUGGGAAGAACACCCGUGGCGAAAGCGCUCUGCUGGACUGCUACUGACAUUGAGGGACGAAAGCUAGGGGAGCGAAUGGGAUUAGAUACCCCAGUAGUCC